This 73-nucleotide transfer RNA is filed under the name Blattella germanica (German cockroach). RNAcentral's name for it is "tRNA-Arg (CCT) (tRNA-Arg-CCT-12-1)". It matches the Rfam family "tRNA". From Rfam's summary of the family: Transfer RNA (tRNA) molecules are approximately 80 nucleotides in length. Lineage: Eukaryota; Metazoa; Arthropoda; Insecta; Blattodea; Blattellidae. The record is from RNAcentral.
GGCCCAGUGGCCUAAUGGAUAAGGCAUCGGUCUCCUAAACCGGGGUUUGUGGGUUCAAGUCCCACCUGGGGUA